This 253-nucleotide ribosomal RNA is filed under the name uncultured Bacteroides sp. Its description in RNAcentral is "partial 16S ribosomal RNA". It matches the Rfam family "Bacterial small subunit ribosomal RNA", at positions 524 to 776 of the family's 1533-position model. The record is from RNAcentral. Lineage: Bacteria; Pseudomonadati; Bacteroidota; Bacteroidia; Bacteroidales; Bacteroidaceae.
UACGGAGGAUCCGAGCGUUAUCCGGAUUUAUUGGGUUUAAAGGGAGCGUAGGUGGAUUGUUAAGUCAGUUGUGAAAGUUUGCGGCUCAACCGUAAAAUUGCAGUUGAAACUGGCAGUCUUGAGUACAGUAGAGGUGGGCGGAAUUCGUGGUGUAGCGGUGAAAUGCGUAGAUAUUAGGAGGAACACCAGUGGCGAAGGCGACUUUCUGGACUGUACCUGACGCUGAGGCGCGAAAGCGUGGGUAGCGAACGGG